CGCGCCGCGAGGUCCUAAGCAGCCCGGGCUGUUGCGCGGCGCUGGCGGGCGGGGACACCAACGGGGAGUGGAUACUCCGAGGCUCAACCUGGGGCCUCUGCCCGCCCUCCCCUGGGUGCGGAGCCGGACGGCGGGCACUGGCAACCCCCGGGCCCCUGGAGAGCCCCGCGGCGGCCCAAGACCCGCUCCCGAGACACGUGGGCCCCUCCGGACUUGGUUGGUCCCUGGAGCCAGCUGCGCGCGUCCUCUCCGGCCUCCUUGUCGGCGCUGGAGUGGGUCCACGUCUGCCUUGCGGAGCGCGGUGGUUCCACGCUCCUGAGCGCCCACGCUGCGCAGACCUGGCCGCUCUGCGAGGCGACGGCAGCGCACUGAAGACCGUGGUGUUUCCCAAGCCCUCCCUGCUCUCGGGCCUCCAGGGCGCAGCAGGGGAGGGUUUUGUCCCCGUGGCCAAAGCUCUGCAGGUCGAACCUUAUCUGCUAUGGGAAGGCCCCGCAUUUUCAGAUUCACGCAGGGCCCUCUGCAGACUGUUGGCAGAAAAAAGGUAGCCACCAAACACAUGCAUAAGCUGGACUUUUCCCAGAAUGCUGCAGCAGAACUACCCUCCAGAUAGACACUAGCCUGCGGGCCACAGUGCUACGUGAGUCUUGCAAAGAGGAGAUCUUUAUGGCGAGGCUGAGAGCACUGCCUGCAUGCUUUACCAGAGCCCAGCCUCCAGCCUCCACGGAAAAUGUGUUUUGGAAUCAACACUCUUUGCAAAGGCUCCACACUGCUUUCUGGUAGCAUUGGCCUGGGCGCCCAGGCACUCCUUUAGAACCCACCUGUUCCCCCCACCCACCCUAGUGGGAGGAGGAGAGGGUUACACUGACAGAUACCGGCAGCUCUGCAACCCGGGAACAACGCAGACAACAUACAACUCGACAGAGUCACAGAAGGUGGCGUCCAUCGCGCCUGGAUGGUGACUACUGCCCUGCGGGCUGCUGGGUGGGUGAAACACACAGGGAAGAAGCACAAAUACACACACAGAUGUGGCUCAGGGACAUUUGAAUGCUUCAGUGUGUGAAUUUUUUAGCGCAUUCUGACUCGAAAUUAUGGCUGAAUAGUGGCGCACUAAUGUCCAAGUCCAUGUUCGAUAAUGGCAGGAAGUCUGCACUAAUUGGUCUAUUUAGUAGUUGCUGAGGUGGCAAAAGCUGCAGCUGCUGGUGGCUGAAAGAGAGAGAGAGAGAGAGAGACCUCCUCUUAGGCCACUUCCCAGAGCUGUGGCAGUGGGGGAGGGGGAAUUCCCCAGGAUGGUGUUUGUGGUCAAGUUCACCUCUGGCAACCCUGCCUAAGCUCUUCUCACAGGUGCACGCAUUCAAGUCCUGAAGAGCCCUCCCCGCCCCCAACAGUGUUCAUGUCCCGGGCUGGGGGCCCGCCUGGGAGGGGCUCUAUAUGCCGGUGGGACCUGGCUGCUUUGCCUCGCAUUCUCCCCACUCUUCCCCUUCCCAGGGCAGCUUUUCUCCCCGCACCCCAUCUCUCUCCCCUUUGCUUUCUAACUGGGUUGGGAAGCUAAUCUGCCAAGAGCCCGCUGCUUAGCCGGUGCGGUGGCAUGUGCCUGUGGUCCCAGCUACUUGGGAGGCUGGAACAGGAGAAUCGCCUGAGCCCAGGGGUAGAGGUGAGGCUGCA
RNAcentral lists this long non-coding RNA (1662 nucleotides) under Homo sapiens (human). Its description in RNAcentral is "non-protein coding MNX1-AS1:2". The record is from RNAcentral. Lineage: Eukaryota; Metazoa; Chordata; Mammalia; Primates; Hominidae.